This 8319-nucleotide long non-coding RNA is filed under the name Brachypodium distachyon (stiff brome). RNAcentral's name for it is "long non-coding RNA (BDIS_LNC003582)". The record is from RNAcentral. Lineage: Eukaryota; Viridiplantae; Streptophyta; Magnoliopsida; Poales; Poaceae.
GAUCCAAAGCUCUGACUUCCCUCAUGUCCUUGCUAAAACCCUAGCUAGGAUGCCCUCUAUUUAUAAGGGAAAAUUCGCGACUCUAAACCGAGUCCAAAUCCAACACGAACUCCUCUGUCCUGGUCGGUAUUUUGCCCGUGGGGCCCGCAUACAACCUCGGAUUGAGAUGAAUCCAAAAGAAAAGUUAUUCGUCUCGACGACGUGCACAACUUUCAUGUAGACCACUUUUCCAUCCGAUGCCAUCUUGAUGACGCUAAUAUUUAAUCUUUAAACAGCUCUCAUUCAGCCACGGCUGACCUACAUAUCUUCACGUCGAUGCCACUCCGUGCCAUCAACUCUUCUUGUGAUGUCUUCAAAACUCGACCAUCACGUAUCGAAUAUCUCCAAUACCGUACAUAUCCGGUAUAAACAAUUACGACAAACCGGUGCCCUCCCGGAUCAUCGUAGGCUUCACUUCCGUUGUUCCUUCGCACGAACGUCCCGCAUGACCUUGAUCCUCGACCUCACCUUCUCCCAAGCUUCAUUCCUCGAUCCCGUCAUCGACCACGUUCCUCUAGCUCCGGCAACACCUGAAAGCGAACACACAAAUAACCAGUACGAGCACAAGUCCAUGACUUGACUCAGGGUAAGUUCCACACAACUCACGCCAUGUUUUCACAUAAGAAACUAAUGGAUCAGCACACCACUAGCAAAGCACUUAGUCCAAACAAGAUACAUGUCAUCACAUAAAUAUCCAUAUUAUCCAAAGUAUACACAUCAAUGUUUCAUCUAAAACACUUGCCAAUGUUACACAUCACCUAUGAUUUCACAAUCUCCCCCUUGAUGAAAACAUUGGCAACAUCUUCUUAACAACACUAGACAUUGAACAUUCACUUAACUCUCAGAUUUUCAAGGUUUUGAAAAGAAAAUGAAAACCUCAAAAAGUUGGAGAAACACCAAUAAAUGUAAAAUAUGGUCUGUAUAUGUGUUGAAAUCUCUCCCCCUUUGACAAUGAAUUUCAUCAAAACCACACAAAAAUAUUUCCCCUGCUUCAACUUUUUUUUCUUUAAACUAAAGCGAUUUUUUUUAUAUUUUAUUUUUUUUUGUUGUAAUGAGCAUUAUGAAACAUCAUGAACAUGAUAAUUGUGCAUCCAAUUUAUGUAAAAAGUAGUUGUACUCGACAUGUAUGUAAGUAUGAUGUAAUCUAUACAUGACUAAAACUCAAGUAUUUUUACGAUUUAUUGCAAGACAUGGUCUCCCCCUGUCAACUACAUCAAUACUUGAAUACAAAAUAACUUGCAGCACAUUACAUUAAACAAAGCACUUUAUAAAAGCAUAAUAUUUAUUUUCAUUGAAUUUAUAUGCCAAGUCAAUUCAACCUUGCCAAGCCUAUAUUUAAAACACCAUGCCAAGCCUAUGUCCAGAGUGCAAUGAUUAGCAAUCAGAAGCUUAAGGCAAUGAUAAGCAAUCAGAAGCUUAAGACAAAGGUUUCAAUAAACACAGCAACCUCCAAGUUCAUACCAAAGUGCAAUGGUAAGCAGUCUCGUGAAGAUGUAGUGCGACAUUGGCAUAUUUAUUUAGUAAAAAUUUCUUGACACCACGUGUCUUUGUAUAUUUGGAACUUUGAUACCAUUAUAUUUUCAUCAUUGCUAGUAAUUAAGUAUCCAAGACCAAAAUAGCUAACAAAGUUUAACCAUGACAAGAUUUAGUUCAAGUUAUCAUUCCUAUUAGAAGUCAUGUGAUAGACUAUUUCAUACGAGCAUACAUAUAAAAUGACAAUGUUCUCAAAACAUAAACGUGGUUGCAAAAAUGUCAUUUGAGGAUGGAAUACAAUGCUCAUUACUUUUUCAGAUUUUUUAUUUAUUAAAGAUAAAAGAACGAAAAAGAUAUUUUACAUGUCGUACACAAAGAACAAACUCCCCCUCAAACCAUCCCGUAUGGUUUGAUUACUCCAAGUUCACCUCGAAGAAAAGCAAACCGAGAAGAAUCCAAUGGUUUAGUAAAAAUGUCUGCCAAUUGACGUUCGGUAUCUAUAAAGUUGAGCACAACAUUUUCUUUUUCAACAUGAUCUCUAAGAAAAUGAUAUCUUAUAUCUAUGUGCUUAGUUCUAGAAUGUUGCACUGGGUUUUUAGCAAUACAUAUAGCACUAGUGUUAUCACAAUAAAGUGGUACACUUUCUAAAAUAACCCCAUAAUCUUUCAUUGUAGCUAUUAUCCAUAAAAUCUGUGAGCAACAGCAAGCAGCAGCUACAUAUUCACUUUCAGCAGUAGACUGUGCAACAGAACUUUGUUUCUUAGAAGACCAAAGUACUAAAGAAUCACCCAAAAAUAAGCAUGUACCAGAUGUACUCUUUCUAUCAAUUCUACAACCUCCAAAAUCAGCAUCCGAAAAUGCACGCAAUAUAAUACUAGAGGAAGCAGAAAACCAAAUGCCAAAAGAUUGGGUGCCAUGUAGAUACCUGAAAAUCCUCUUGACAGCUUGUAAAUGUGAUGUACGUCGAGAAGCUUGAAACCGUGCACACAAGCAUACAGAAAAUUGUAUAUCCGGUCUAGAGGCAGCAAGAUAAAGAAGUGAACCAAUCAUACUCCUAUACAUCUUUUGGUCAACAGGUUCACCAUCCUCAUCAAGAUCAAGCGACGUCGUAGAUUCCAUUGGUGUCAUAAUAGGCUUGCAGUUUUCCAUCCCAAAACGUCGUAGCAGAUCCUUCGUAUACUUACUUUGAUGUACAAAGGUGCCCUCCUUUGUUUGCUUGAUUUGUAGCCCCAAAAAGUAAGUAAGUUUGCCCAUCAUGCUCAUCUCAAAUUCCCUGCUCAUAGUUUCUAAAACUUCUGACACCAAAGCAUGAGAGGCACGCCCAAAGAUAAUAUCAUCAACACAAACUUGUACGAAAAGUUGAUCAUUGCCAUGCUUGAGUACAAAUAAGGUUUUAUCAACAUUUCCCAUGGUAAACCCCUUUUCAAGUAAAAAAAAAUUUAACCUAUCAUACCAUGCACGUGGGACUUGUUUUAAACCAUACAAAGUCUUUGAGAGUUUAUAAACAUGGUUUGGGAAAUUUGGAUUCUCAAAACCCGGUGGUUGCUUAACAUAAAACUCCUCAUGAAUGAAGCCAUUGAGAAAAGCACUUUUAACAUCCAUUUGAUCAAGCUUGAAACCUUUAGAUGCAGCGAAUGCCAAUAAAAUUCUUAUAGCUUCUAAUCUAGCAACAGGGGCAAAAGUUUCAUCAAAAUCAAGACCCUCAAUUUGAGUAAAACCUUGAGCAACCAACCUAGCCUUGUUGCGAACAAUAACACCAUCCUCACUUUGUUUGUUUUUAAAAACCCAACGUGUACCAAUAAGGGUAUGACCUGGAGGUGGUGAAACAAGAGUCCAAACUUGGUUACGCUCAAAAUUUUCUAAUUCCUCAUGCAUGGCAUUGAUCCACGAUUCAUCAGUAAAUGCAUGAGAUAUAUCUUUGGGCUCAAAAGAAGCAACAAAUGCAGAAUGAUUGUGAGGGUUAGAAUCGAUAAACCUUGACCGUGUGACUCUCUCAGUCAUGCUUCCAAUAAUCUGUUCAGGAGGGUGCCACUUUUGAAUGUGUCGGGGUGCUGAAAUAUUUGACUCAGCAGCUUGCUCAACCCCAGCUUGACUAGUCGAGGUAGUCUCCUGAGGGUGAUCAACUGUAGCAGCAGUAGUAGUAGGUGUAGGAACAGCUACAGAUGGUGCAUGGACAGCAGGGGGCAUGCCAUCCUCCUCAUCAUCUUCAUCAUCCAAAAAUAUUCCCUCCCCCUGAACAUAUGUUCCUGCAUUAGAAACAAGAGGACUAGAGCCAGAACUAGCCUCAUCAAAAGUCACUUCACUGGUUUCCAUUAGUCGGUUAGUCUCGUAAACAUAAACACGGUAACCACGUGAAUGAGCAGGAUAUCCAAGAAACAUGCCAUCAUAUGAUCUAGACUCAAACUUAUCUAGAUUGCCAGAUUUAAGAACAAAGCAUUUGCAUCCAAAAACUCUUAGGUGAGAUAUAACAGGUUUACGUCCAAAUCGUAGUUCAUAUGGCGUUUUACCAAUUUUGGAUCUCAAGAACACACGAUUUGAAACAUAACAAGCAGUAGAUAUAGCUUCAGCCCAAAACUUUCUAGGAGUAGAAAAUUCAUCAAGCGUAGUACGGGCCAUCUCAACUAGAGUUCGAUUCUUACGCUCCACUACACCAUUUUGUUGUGGUACAUAAGGUGCAGAAAAUUGAUGUUCAAUGACAAGUUCAUCACAAAACUGAUUAAAAUAUGAAUUCUUAAAUUCAGUUCCAUUAUCACUCCUGAUAGUUUUCAAAGAUCCUGGGUGCUCAACACUUAAUCUAUUCACAAGACUCUUAAAAUGACUAAAAGCCUCAUCCUUAGAUGCCAUAAAAUAAACCUAAGAAUAUCUUGAAUAAUCAUCAACAAUCAGCAGAACAUACCACUUACCACCAAAAGAUUGUACUCUUGAUGGACCAACUGUAUCAAGGUGUAGAAACUGUCCUGGAGCAUCAGUCAUGACACCAGUAAUGCGUGCCUGAGAACCUGCAACCAUCUUACCAUGUCUACAAGGAGAGCAUACAACAUGUUUUUCUCCCUUAAGUUUAGGCAAACCAUUUAAGACAUUCAUACCACUAAUGCGAGUAAGAUGAUCAAAACCAAUAUGCCCAAGUCUACGAUGCCAAAAUAAUAAAUUUGUAGAUGUGUUGGCAACUAGACACCUAAAUUUUGCAUUUGAAGCAGCAUGAAAAUCAGCCUUAAAACUUUCCCAAAGCGUGAUAUAUCAAAAACAAGAUCACCCGAAGCAUCUAAAACUUUGCAAGCACUCUUCUUGAAAGAUACUUCAAGAUCCUCAUCAAUCAUUUGGGAAACCGACAAUAAGUUGUAUUUUAGAUUUUCAACCAAAGCAACAUCUUUGAACACAAAAUUGUCGGUUACCUUUACUGUACCUUUCCCAACAACAGUAGAGGUAGAAGCAUCUCCAUAGGUUACACUUUCAGCCCGAGAUGCACGUUUGAGGAAGGAGAACCAAUUUUUAUCACCGGUCAUGUGACGAGAACAACCGGAGUCCACUAGUCAUAUGUUCUCCUUCCUCACGCGAAGUGCCUACAAACAAACACAUGCCGAGAUCUCAGUACUGGAUAGAUAAAAAGCUUUUAGGUAUCCAGUACUGAGAUACACGACGAGUAGGCAGAGCACAAGUUUCUUUAUACAUUGGGACAGAUUGUACAUGCCUCAUGCAAGUGGAAACGGAAGGUAAAACAUUCACCCUAGGCACAUAACGGGGAGUAGUAGUUUUAUCAUGAGCAUAAUGUGCAUUGAAGGAAUUAGAUCUAGCUUGUUUUCUUUCCUUUUUAAUUACUCUAGCUAGUCUAAAACAAGAACCUACAGCAUGUCCAGGUUUAUUACAAUAAGUGCAAGUGUACCUACUUCCAGAUUUAGCAUGUGAUGUAUGACCUACAUUUGCACUUGUUGAAGUAUCAUUAGACAUGAUGCCAGCAGAUCUAAAAAUCACAUUGGUUGGCUUGUCAGUUGUUUCAAAAAUUCCAUUGCCUAGUGACUUAACUAUAUUGGGUGGAUUAGCAUUAAAAUGAGCAUAUGCAUUAAAACCAAGUCCGGUCUUGUUCUUACUCACUUUAGACUUAUCUAAGAUCAUAUUCAGAUUUUUGUGCCCACUAGAAAAUUUCUGCAAAGAUGCUUGUAAAUAAUUAACUUGGUGAGACAGGGCAAUACAAUUAUCACAAGCACUAUCCAUGAUUUGUUUUCCACUUUUACAAUUAGCGCACAAAGAAACCUCAUGGAUGUGUAAAGCAUUUUCAACAUGAGAAACCCUAGCAUUUGCAUCUUUCAACUUCAAUUCAAGAAUAUGACAAUUAUUACAAGAAAUUGAAUCUGUCAAAUCAGAAGUAUCCAUGCUAGCAUCAUUAAUUUGUUUACGUUAAUGCACAAUAGGUUUCUCAUUGUUUUCUAAUGCAACUCUAAGCUUAUCAAGAGUAUCAUCAUGAAUAGAACGUAAAGAGGUAAGCUCAGAGUAUAUAGAAUCACAAGACUUGCAGGAAUCAUCAUCAGGAAUCAUAGACUUAAGUUUAGUAAUUUUAGAAUUCAAGGAUGCAAUUUUCAAGUCAUAUUUCUUAAUUCUUUUAGUAGCAUGAUCAAGCAAGGAACUCAAUUUACUAGCACUUUUAAGUAAUUCAUCAUAAGAAAGUUCUACCUCAUUGUUGCUGUCACUGUCGUAGUCGUCGCAGGAGGUAACACUCGUUGCUAGCCAUAAGACACAUCCCAUUAAUGUCGCGCUUGCCUUUGGAUGCAUCAUCUUCAUCAGACUCGAUAUCCACAUCACUCAAGCAUGGUUCACCAUAUUCAUUCAUUACAGAGAAAAUACUCUGAGCCACCGCUCGAGCAAAGUCGCCCCUCCUUUUAUUCUUGAUGUUGAAGGAGCUCUUCUUCUUCUUGUCCUCCCCAUUUUCUUCUUUCGCCAUCUUGGAUAAGAAUUUAUGACAAUUUUGGCGAAAGUGAUUUGGAUCACCACAUUCAAAGCACCUUGGAGCAUUGUUCCCACCUCUCUUCCUUGAACGAACAUUUUGCAGGGCACGUGUAAAACGAGAGGUCAGGAGUGCCAAUUCUUCCUCUGGAUAUUGCUCUAGCUGUUCAUCAGUUAGUUGAGACAAAGAAGACAAAGCAUAGCAAUAUGUAGAAGUACCAUCAUUAGAGCUGCCAGGGUUAGUAACAAGUGCAAUUGAUUUGGAACCGGUUCUCCUAGCAAGAAUAUCUAAUUCAUGAGUUUUCAAUUUUGAGUACAGAAUAUCAAGUGUAAGUGUGCUCAUGAUAGUGGAUUCUCUAAUAGAUGUAACUUUUAUCUCCCAUAUGGACAUAUCUAAUGCACUCAAAAGUUGCCUAGAACCAUCAGCAUCAGUAUAAGUAACACCUAAUGCACGUAAGUUGCCUAGAACCAUUGUCCGCGGGAAGCUCAUAGGGCUUGGCGAUCUUCUCUCAUAUGGCGUAUCUUUGUGCCAUGACGUAUGCCUUCAUCUUCACCUUCCAAAACUGAAAAUCAACACCAUCGAAAACACAGGGUUUGGUAGAAUACCUAUCCAUAUCUAGCAAGUCUAAUCAACCGGUUAAUAUAAUUAGAGAGAACUUACUCUGAUACCAAUUGUGAGAUCGAUCAGAGGGGGGUGAAUGAUUGCGCGGAAGCAAAUUAAAACUUUUCCCGAAAGUUCAAACCCUAAAUCACCUUUCUGUCCAUGAUAGUAAAACAGCCGUAACUUUUGAUUGGAUGAACCAAAAAAUGCGUAUGAGUAUGAAAAAGAAAGAUAUUGAAAUUAUCUAACCAACACAACAAGAAUCAGCUCAAUCGGACGUACUAAUUAAAAGAUAUGAUCAAAAUAGUAACAGCUGAUAGAAAGUUACGAGGAUUAAUCUAAAACCAAUUUCGAGGAAUAACAAGAAAGAUGAAUUAAUCGCAAUUUUCACUUGAUCUCGUGAUAAACCAGCAGCAAAAUAUUAUAAACUCGUGAUGAACCUGCACCAAAGUGUUAGAAAGAUCUAGCACGAUGAAUCCACGAAGAUCCGAGAAGAACAGAGAUGACACCUCCAACGAAUCUCUUUAUUGCAACGAUGUUGAUCUAUUACAAAAGAUGCAACCAUGCAUCGAAGAACUCUCCAAUAAUUGAUCUAGAUCCAAAGCUCUGAGUUCCCUCACGUCCUUACUAAAACCCUAGCUAGGAUGCCCUCUAUUUAUAAGGAAAAAUUCGUGACCCUAAAUCGAGUCCGAAUCCAACACGAACUCCUCUGUCCUGGUCGGUAUUUUGCCCGUGGAGCCCGCAUACGAUCUCGGAUUGAGAUGACUCCAAAAGCAAAGUUGUUCGUCUCGACGACGCGCACAACUUUCAGGUAGACCACUUUUCCAUCCGACGCCAUAUUGAUGAUGCUACUAUUUAAUCUUUAAACAGCUCUCAUCCAGCCACGGCUGGACCUACAUAUCUUCACGUCGAUGCCACUCCGUGCCAUCAACUUUUCUUGUGAUGUCUUCAAAACUCGACCAUCACGUAUCGAAUAUCUGCAAUACCGUACAUAUCCGGUAUAAACAAUUACGACAAACCGGUGUCCUCCCGGAUCAUCGUAGCCUUCACUUCCGUUGUUCCUUCGCACGAACGUCCCGCAUGACCUUGAUCCUCGACCUCAGCUUCUCCCAAGCUUCAUCCCUCGAUCCCGUCAUCGACCAUGUUCCUCUAGCUCUGGCAACACCUGAAAGCGAACACACAAAUAACCAGUACGAGCACAAGUGCACGACUUGACUCAGGGUAAGUUCCACACAACUCACGCCAUGUUUUCACAUAAGAAACUAAUGGAU